RNAcentral lists this ribosomal RNA (3012 nucleotides) under Triticum aestivum (bread wheat). RNAcentral's name for it is "partial small subunit ribosomal RNA". The record is from RNAcentral. Lineage: Eukaryota; Viridiplantae; Streptophyta; Magnoliopsida; Poales; Poaceae.
AUGGCGUCCCCGUCCGCGCCAUCGCCGUCGCCGUCGCGGCCGCAGCGCUCGCCGGACGAGGUCGAGGACAUCAUCCUCCGCAAGAUCCUCCUCGUCUCCCUCGCGGCCCCGUCCGCCCCCAACCCCGCCGUGCCCUACCUCGAGCUCACCGCCGCCGAGCUCCUCUCCGAGUCGCGCCCCCUCCUCGCCCUCCGCGACGCCGCCGAGCGCCUCCUCAUCGACCGCCUCUCCCUCCCGGACGCCUCGCCGCCGCCCUUCGCGUUCCUCGCCGCCGCCUUCGGCCGCGCCGCGGACGAGGCCCGCAAGAUCUCCACGAUCCGCGACCCCGCCCUCCAGGCGCGGCUGCGGGCGUCCAUCGCCCACGUCCGCGGCCUCAUCCUCUCCUACGCGCGCAUCGUCGCGGGGAAUCCGGACACCUUCCCGACGCCCCCCAACGCGCCCCACCCCGCCGCCGAGCUGCUCGUCUUCCUGCUCGCGGAGGCCGCCGACCCGCUCGACUCCGCCCCGGCCCCCGGCGCCCCGCCGCCGCCGGGCUUCCUGGACGAGCUCUUCGGGAACGCGGACUAUGACGCCGUCGAGCCGGUGAUGGGCGAGCUGUACGAGCGCCUGAGGCAGAGCGUCGACAAGGUAUCCGCGCUGGGCGACUUCCAGCGGCCUCUCCGUGUGCUGAAGCGGCUGGUGGGGAUCCCCAACUGCGCCAAGGCUCUGGUACAGCACCCCAAGUGGAUUCCUAAGAAUCAAAUCAUGCUGAUUGGGGAAGGAAGAACCAUGGAGAUCUGCAGCUUGCUUGGGGCCUUCUUCCAUGUCAGUGCUAUUCCCGACCGUGAAUUUGCAAGCCAGCCUGAUGUUGGGCAACAGUGCUUCUCUGAUGCAUCUACACGGCGGCCGGCUGAUUUGCUGUCAUCAUUUGCAGCAAUACAAAAUGUUAUGAAUAGCUUGCAGGAUGGGCUGAGGGAUGUUCUUCUAGUGCUGCUUAAGAAUUCGGAUACUCGAGAAAAGGUCCUCGAAUAUCUGGCAGCAGUGAUAAACACAAAUGCAGGAAGAUCUGGCAUGCGUGUGGACCCUUUGAAAUGCGCAAGUUCGGGUAUGUUUGUCAAUCUCAGUGCUGUCAUGCUCCGUCUAUGCGAGCCUUUUUUGGAUAAAAUGGAGUCUAUGAAGGGCAAGAUUGAUGUCAAGUACCUCUUCUGCAACAAAAGAGUAGAUUUCAAGAGCUUGACCGCUGUAAAUGCCUCUUCAGAAGAAGUCUCAUCAUGGAUAGAGAGCUGGAGCCAGGAUAAUGCCAGUGGGAAGGCAAAUAAAGAGAAUUUCUCAUUUAUUUGCGAAUGUUUUUUCAUGACAGCAAGGGUACUUAACUUGGGAGUGAUGAAAGCUGUGGCAGAUCUUAAGCAUAUCUCUCAGGAACUUGCAAGGUGUGAAGAUGAUUUGGAAGCAAACAAAGCAAUUAGAGAUCAAGGAGGAAGUUCACCACAGCUUGAGCAAGAUAUAACACGCUUGGAGAAGAUAGUUGCAGCCUUAUCCCAAGAACAGUUCUGCUAUGAAUCUCAGAUACUAAGGGACAGUGCUUUUCUUCAGCGUGCACUAUCUUUCUACAGAUUAAUGAUAUUGUGGUCAGUAGACCUAGUUGGGGGAUUUAAGAUGCCUUUGCCAUCAGAAUGCCCCAUGGAAUUUUCUUGCAUACCGGAGCAUUUUCUUGAUGAUGCAAUGGAUUUACUUGCUCUAACCUCUAGAAUUCCAAAAGCUCUGGAGGGAUUCCCACUGGAUAAUUUUCUCAAUUUCAACAUCAUGUUCAUGGCGAGCUCUUCUUACAUUAAAAAUCCUUACCUGAAAGCAAAGAUGGUUGAAGUUUUGAAAAGCUGGAUGCCACAAAGAAGCGGCUUGAAAUCCACAGCCUCGUUGUUUGAGGGGCACCAACUGUGUCUCGAUUAUCUUGUCAAGAAUCUUCUGAAGCUUUAUGUGGAUAUUGAAUUCACUGGCUCCCAUACACAGUUCUUUGACAAAUUUAAUAUUCGACACAACAUUGCUGAGCUUCUUGAGUAUUUAUGGGAUGUUCCCAGUCAUCGAAAUGCUUGGAGACAAAUGGCUAAAGAAGAGGAAAAGGGCGUCUACUUGAAUUUUCUGAACUUCCUUAUCAAUGAUAGCAUCUAUCUUCUUGAUGAAAGUUUGAAAAGGAUUCUCGAGCUAAAGGAAAUAGAGGCUGAAAUGGCUAAUACUGUUGCAUGGGAUAGCAGGCCUGCUCAAGAAAGAGAGGAGCGGUUGCGCGCGUUUCAUCAGUCAGAGAAUAUUGCUCGAUUUGAUAUGAAGCUCGCAAAUGAGGAUGUUGGGAUGCUUGCUUUCACGUCAGAACAAAUUCCAGCACCUUUGCUUCUUCCAGAAAUGGUGGAAAGGGUGGCAAGCAUGUUAAAUUACUUCCUCUUGCAGCUUGCUGGUCCCCAGAGGAAAUCGUUGACUGUAAAAGAUCCAGAGAAGUAUGAGUUCAAACCAAAGCAGCUAUUGAAACAGAUUGCUACCAUCUAUGUCCACAUUGCAAGGGGUGAUAAGGAAGCUGUCUUCCCAGCUGCAAUCUCAAAAGACGGAAGGUCAUACAGUGAGCAGUUGUUUGCUAGCGCAACUAAUAUUUUGUGGAAGAUUGGGGUAGAUCCCCAAAUCAUACAGGAGUUUAUGCAACUUGCAGGUAAAGCAAAAGCUGCUGCUGCUGAGGCCAUGGAUGCUGAGGCUAUCCUUGGGGACAUACCAGACGAAUUUCUUGAUCCGAUCCAGUAUACUCUGAUGAAUGAUCCUGUGAUACUACCAUCAUCGCGGGUCACAGUAGACCGACCAGUUAUUGUUCGGCAUUUGCUCAGUGACAGUACUGAUCCGUUCAACCGCUCCCAGCUCACUCAAGACAUGUUGAUACCAGAUACAGAUCUCAAGUUGCGCAUUGAAGAAUUUGUCAGGUCCCAGCAGUCGAGGAAGCGGAGGGCUGUCGACGCUGAGACCGGGGAGCCUGAUGGUGCUGCUGAUAUGGUGGAGUGA